AUCUGCCCAGUCGAGGGGGAUAACAGUUGGAAACGACUGCUAAUACCGCAUACGCCCUACGGGGGAAAGGAGGGGACCUUCGGGCCUUCCGCGAUUGGAUGAACCUAGGUGGGAUUAGCUAGUUGGUGAGGUAAUGGCUCACCAAGGCGACGAUCCCUAGCUGUUCUGAGAGGAUGAUCAGCCACACUGGGACUGAGACACGGCCCAGACUCCUACGGGAGGCAGCAGUGGGGAAUAUUGCACAAUGGGCGAAAGCCUGAUGCAGCCAUGCCGCGUGUGUGAAGAAGGCCUUCGGGUUGUAAAGCACUUUCAGUAGGGAGGAAAGGUUAGCAAUUAAUACUUGUUAGCUGUGACGUUACCUACAGAAGAAGGACCGGCUAACUCCGUGCCAGCAGCCGCGGUAAUACGGAGGGUCCGAGCGUUAAUCGGAAUUACUGGGCGUAAAGCGUGCGCAGGCGGUUAUUUAAGCCAGAUGUGAAAGCCCCGGGCUCAACCUGGGAAUUGCAUUUGGAACUGAGUAACUAGAGUCUUGUAGAGGGGGGUAGAAUUUCAGGUGUAGCGGUGAAAUGCGUAGAGAUCUGAAGGAAUACCGGUGGCGAAGGCGGCCCCCUGGACAAAGACUGACG
Molecule: ribosomal RNA, 626 nt
Filed under: Shewanella sp.
Lineage: Bacteria; Pseudomonadati; Pseudomonadota; Gammaproteobacteria; Alteromonadales; Shewanellaceae
Description: bacterial SSU rRNA
Rfam family: Bacterial small subunit ribosomal RNA
Source: RNAcentral